AUGCAGAAAGGGUUCCCGAGAGAGGGUCGGAACGCUCCCCUUACCGGAGGGCCCUCGCCUUCCACUGGAUGGGAAGCAAACUCCGACUUCAGAGGCACGGGGUUUGGCCUGCCACCCAGAGCCUUCCUUCCCGGCGUCGCAUCUCCCAGCGGGCCCACCGCUGAUUCUGCACACCCCGACGCAGUCACCGGGGAGGCGGAGCAGGCUGGGACCAGGACAGCCAGCUCCCCGAAGUCACGUCCACAGCGCCCCGGGACGGCGGACGCUCCCCGGGUCCGCUCGGGCACGUCAGCUUCGGUGGGGGCAGGGGGCGCGCAGCCGGCAGCCUCGAGAACCAGCGACUCCGACGCGGACGCGCCAACCACUGCCGUUAACUUUGCCGCCAGCGGGACUUCCGGCGCGAGGCGGGGCGGCUGGCGGCUGGCGGCUUCCGGCUUCCAGGACCCCGUCCUCCUCCCGCCGCAGCCCGCCCCUCCUCCCGGCCCCGGUCCCGGUCCCGGCCCCGGCCCCGGUCCCGGUCCCGGUCCCGGACCCCCUCGCCACCCCGAGGCCCCGCCCCCUGCCCGGUCCCCCUCGCCACCCCGAGGCCCCGCCCCCUGCCCGGUCCCCCUCGCCACCCCGAGGCCCCGCCCCCUGCCCGGGUCCCCCUCGCCACCCCGAGGCCCCGCCCCCUGCCCGGUCCCCCUCGCCACCCCGAGGCCCCGCCCCCUGCCCGGUCCCCCUCGCCACCCCGAGGCCCCGCCCCCUGCCCGGUCCCCCUCGCCACCCCGAGGCCCCGCCCCCUGCCCGGUCCCCCUCGCCACCCCGAGGCCCCGCCCCCUGCCCGGGUCCCCCUCGCCACCCCGAGGCCCCGCCCCCUGCCCGGUCCCCCUCGCCACCCCGAGGCCCCGCCCCCUGCCCGGUCCCCCUCGCCACCCCGAGGCCCCGCCCCCUGCCCGGUCCCCCUCGCCACCCCGAGGCCCCGCCCCCUGCCCGGGUCCCCCUCGCCACCCCGAGGCCCCGCCCCCUGCCCGGUCCCCCUCGCCACCCCGAGGCCCCGCCCCCUGCCCGGUCCCCCUCGCCACCCCGAGGCCCCGC
This 1077-nucleotide long non-coding RNA is filed under the name Canis lupus familiaris (dog). RNAcentral describes it as "lncRNA (ENSCAFG00000042449.2)". The record is from RNAcentral. Lineage: Eukaryota; Metazoa; Chordata; Mammalia; Carnivora; Canidae.